UUGUUUUUCUAGCACCAACAGACUGAAAUAAGCAAGAAAAUCUCCAUUAGUGGAGGCUACCAAAUUAUGACCAUCAAUAGGAAAUGGCUGGUGGCAAGUAUUGAGCAGAAGACCAACCAUGAGUACUGGAAAACCAUCUGGAACUACGACACAGUGAGUGCACGAAGGGGCUUGUUCAGAGUAGCUCAAACACUCAGUAAAAACUGGGUCAAUAGAUAUGAAAUUCCACUAUUGAUGAUUGAAUUCCAUGUGGUCAAUAACUUUAUUUUACAGGGCUUUAUGGCCACCAAAGUGCUGCCAGAGAGAGCUUGCUACAUUUCCAUAAUGAACAGAACAGAGAUGCCCAGCUUUGAUGGACUUCCCCAGCUGGCUGCAGACCUCAGGAACCAGAGGCACCCAAGACCCCCUAGCAAGGAGAUCACAUUCACCCUCAUCAGGAGAGCCAUCCGUGACCUGGAAUCUUAUGGACCAGACAUCUUCUCCACGUGCACAGGGCUCUCAGCUUAUGUGGCCUAUGAAGUUCAUGGACCCCAAUUCAAUCUUGGAUCGUGCCUCAAGCUCGAUGUCCUCCAAUAUUUGGCCCUCACCUACUGCCACAACGAUAACUUUGUGUAAAUCCUGCCUUUCCUGAGCUGCUGCCCGAAUCCAGCCCUGCUGGGAUCAUUCCCUGGCAUCUCUUCUUCCAAGAGAUUCCUUCCUGAGGAUUGGGUGCUGGAACAGAUCAGUUGGUGAGCAGAGCUAGCAAUUAAAU
Molecule: long non-coding RNA, 751 nt
Filed under: Junco hyemalis (dark-eyed junco)
Lineage: Eukaryota; Metazoa; Chordata; Aves; Passeriformes; Passerellidae
Description: lncRNA (ENSJHYG00000009224.1)
Source: RNAcentral